Saccostrea cuccullata (small rock oyster) is the source of this 137-nucleotide long non-coding RNA. RefSeq lists it as uncharacterized. The record is from RefSeq and is a predicted model, not a curated record. The transcript has 3 exons. NCBI's taxonomy places the organism in Eukaryota, Metazoa, Mollusca, Bivalvia, Ostreida, Ostreidae.
UAGGUUACAUCACAUUAUCAUGUGAAAUGGCCUGGUAAAUUACGUCACAUUAUCAUGUGAAAUGGCCUGGUAGCUUAAGUCAAAUUAUCAUGUGAAAUGGCCUGGUAGAUUAAGUCACAUUAUCAUGUGUUAUGUGA